RNAcentral lists this ribosomal RNA (300 nucleotides) under uncultured bacterium. RNAcentral's name for it is "bacterial SSU rRNA". It matches the Rfam family "Bacterial small subunit ribosomal RNA", at positions 114 to 425 of the family's 1533-position model. The record is from RNAcentral.
CGCGUAAGAACCUGCCCUUAGGAGGGGAGUAACAACUGGAAACGGUUAGCUAAUACCCAAUAUGCUGAGGAGUAAACGGUAACAACCGACCUAAGAAUGGGCGUUGCGUCUGAUUAGCUUGUUGGUGGGGUAAAAGGACUUACCAAGGCGACGAUCAGUAGUUGGUCUGAGAGGAUGAUCAGCCACACUGGGACUGAGACACGGCCCAGACUUCUACGGAAGGCAGCAGUGAGGAAUUUUCCGCAAUGGGCGAAAGCCUGACGGAGCAAUGCCGUGUGGAGGAAGAAGGCCUACGGGUUG